This 253-nucleotide ribosomal RNA is filed under the name uncultured bacterium. Its description in RNAcentral is "partial 16S ribosomal RNA". It matches the Rfam family "Bacterial small subunit ribosomal RNA", at positions 524 to 776 of the family's 1533-position model. The record is from RNAcentral.
UACGAGGGGGGCAAGCGUUGUUCGGAAUUAUUGGGCGUAAAGGGUGCGUAGGUGGGGUCUCAAGUCUGGUUUGAAAGUUAGCUGCUCAACAGUUAGACGUGGCUGGAAACUGGGAUUCUGGAAUGGGUUGGCGGCUGCCGGAACGGGUCAUGUAGCGGUGAAAUGCAUAGAUAUGACCCAGAACACCGAUUGCGAAGGCAGGCAGCUACGACUUGAUUGACACUGAGGCACGAGAGCAUGGGUAGCGAACAGG